This 447-nucleotide ribosomal RNA is filed under the name uncultured bacterium. RNAcentral's name for it is "partial 16S ribosomal RNA". It matches the Rfam family "Bacterial small subunit ribosomal RNA", at positions 29 to 523 of the family's 1533-position model. The record is from RNAcentral.
AGCGAACGCUGGCGGCAGGCCUAAUACAUGCAAGUCGAAUGGCUCUUCGGAGCAGUGGCGGACAGGUGAGUAACGCGUGGGAAUGUGCCCUUAGGUACGGAACAACACAGGGAAACUUGUGCUAAUACCGUAUGUGCCCUUCGGGGGAAAGAUUUAUCGCCUUUGGCGCAGCCCGCGUUGGAUUAGGUAGUUGGUGAGGUAAAGGCUCAUCAAGCCGACGAUCCAUAGCUGGUCUGAGAGGAUGACCAGCCACACUGGGACUGAGACACGGCCGAGACUCCUACGGGAGGAAGCGGGAGGGAGUCGUGCGCAAUGGGCGAAAGCCCGACGCAGCCAUGCCGCGUGUAUGAUGAAGGUCUUAAGAUUGUAAAAUACUUUCACCGGGGAAGAUAAUGACGGUACCCGGAGAAGAAGCCCCGGCUAACUUCGUGCCAGCCGCCGCCGUAA